GAAUAGAAACCCAGAGCUGGAAAACACCGGAUCCUCAAUUUUACAGGUAGGGGAACCAUCGGCCCAGAGAGGGGGGUAACCAGCCUCGGGUCACACAGCCAGAAUUAGCUGGGCGUCUUCCGAACACGCCACGCUGCCCUGGGAUCACCAAUUGCUUAAAGGGUCCUGACACCGCAAACUAGGGCCCCACCACUCCUCGGCCCUGUGACGCCCGACAGCGGGGAGCGGGAAGCUCCUCUCGGGAGGCCCCGGGCAGCCACAGGGAGUGGGGCCCAGCUCCAGACCUACUCGGUGGCCCGCACGAAGCUGCACGUGUCUGCCCGGCACACGUAGAAGCUCUUUCCUUUAUUCGGGCCAUCGCGGACGCCGGUCUUAAGAAAGCAGAAAGUCCCUGAAGAGAGAAGAAAGUGAACAACGAUUACGCCACGCUAAAUCAACAGGCCCCGGGACGCUGAGACCCUAGCCCCUUACCGUGCUCUGGACACCUAACUUCUUCCAUUUCGCUGGGUCCCCCAAGUUCCACAAAGCCCCGCCCCCAAUUCUGCUUCCGCCUUUUACUCCGCCCUCUUUGUUCAGGAACCAACCAUCACUCAGCUCUUGCAGUCUUAAUCCCUCCCAUAAUUCUCCGCCCUUGGCCUUCACCCGUCCUAGCCGCUAUCAGCCAAUCAUAUAGGAACUUCGCUCACCUCCAACCAAUCACAGCUGCCCUCAGGUUUAUCUUUUAAAAACCGUAUACCUGUUUUACAAGGAUCUCACAAAGAUUAACAAUAUGUAUGCUAUGAAGGAUCCCAUCUGCCUCAGAGAAGAUACGCUUUUCAUCACAGACUGUAUACUUUUUACAGUUCUUAUCUAUUUAUUCUACUGCAAAAACUGCCGAUUCUACAGAGCCUAUUAAUUCCACUGGGAAAACAUGUACGGAAUGUGCUCAUGAGUAUGGGACUUCCUGUAAUUGUUGGAAAGAAGAAAAAGGCUGAUAGAAAAAACAUUUUGGCCUGGCACUCAGGAGAAAACUUCUGCUGAGGAAUGAACAGGGAAAAACAAUGAUGGACCACCUCAAGGAACAAAUCGGAUAGCUUCGACUUCCCCUCUGGAAGCCCUGCUGCGCUGGGAUGCACCUAUCCCUACUUCUUAGAUGUUCCCAUAUGUUCUCAACAGCAUUCUGUCCCUCCUAAGCAGUGUCACUAAAGCUAGCUGGUCUCUUAGGAUUGUUACCUUUAUUGAUGAUUUUCCCUUUGUGCUUCCUGGUGUCUGGCACCAAGACCACACCCCUACUUCUCCAAUGGCCCUUUCCCUCAGUAAGCUUAGCUUAUUGCUCACCUCCCACCUUCUCCCUGAACCCCAGCAGAAAGACAUGGACCUGUCAGAUGCUCCCGAUAUUUAAGUGUCUAUGCCAAAAUCUCAUGUGGACCUUGUUUGUUCAAAUGAGUUACUAUUGAGAGAGACAGCAAAGUCAUCUUCUUUAGGGAACCUGAAAAUUGUCUUCAGUCUGAAAAUUGUCUUCAGAAGGAGCAAAAGAUAGGUGAGAGGGAGAGGAUAAGAGGAGAGCCAUGUAUUCUCCUGACCAUGAGCUCGCGGUAGAUAAACCCCUGGUUACCUGAAGGCAGCACCGUGAGCACCAUCCGCUGUGACUCAUCGGAUGCUUGAUUAAUCCACUUGCUUGGGUGUCCAUGGAGCUGCCACUCUGCCACCCUACACCAGUACAUUCCUGCAUCCUCCAUCUCCACCUGAUGAAGCUUCAGGACAAAGUCUGUAGAGGAUGAACGGUAACAGUGCAGGUGCCUCCUGAGCCCCUCUUCCCCAUACUCCAGCAAGCCAUCAUGUUGCAAGUGCACCAGCAAUUUACUUCCAGAGUUUUCUCUGUUCCAGUACCACAUCACAGAGUACAGAGUGGCUGAGCUGCCUACACUCUCCAGGCUGCAGCGGAUGGCCACUUCUCUGUGCUCAGUCACAUUUUCGGUCCAGUACACUUUGGAGACACGUACCUUACUUCCUAGAAAAUAAAAUGGCAGUAAAUUAGAGAAUGCAGACUUUCAGAUUUGGAUACCACCUCUGAAAAAUCUAGUUCUCACUGGGAAGAUCUUAUAUUCUUUAGACAUCAGUGCAUUCAUUUUAUUUUUUUUAUUAUUUUUAUUUUUUGAGACAGAGUCUUGCUCUGUCACCCAGGCCAGAGUGCAGUGGCAUGAUCUCAGCUCACUGCAACCACUGCCUCCUGGGUUCAAGCAAUUCUCCUGCCUCAGCCUCCCAAGUGGCUGGGAUUACAGGCGUGUGCCACCAUGCCCAGCUGAUUUUUGUAUUUUUAGUAGAGACGGGGUUUCACCAUGUUGGCCAGAUUGCUCUUGAGCUCCUGGCUUCAAGUGAUCUGCCCACCUCAGCCUCCCAAAGUGUUGGGAUUACAGGCAUGAGCCACCACGUCCAGCCACAUUCAUUUUAAUUCUUGUCCUUGGUCCCUGUUUUUCUCUCACAUUUGCCAGGACAUUCUCUGCUAGGAAUCAAACCAGCCUCUUUCCUUCUUUAGCCCAACUGCUUGCCUGCUGGACCCUGCCAUUGAAAACUACACAGCUUCUGCAGGGCCCUCUGCCUGCUGCUUUUACUUACCCUUGAUUCACUCCUCCUCUACUUCCCAAAGUGGUCAUUCACAACUUUUAGCAGCUCCCUCAAGCCAUGUAUUCCACCAGUACCCCUCAUUCUUAGCAAAUUACUCUCCUCCCAUACACCCAGAUAUUAUCUUGGGUGUAAACGCAGAGAGAGAGGACGCCAUCCAAGAGACUGAACAUUUUGAUGCAAGUGUUAGAAGGCCAUCCAUGGGAGCUAUUUAGAUGAUUGGAUUAGACUGAGUUUUAAAGAGAUUUUGACAUUUACUUUUUUUCCCCUUGCUAACCAGCAGGUGAGGAUUUAGAAUAACAGCCAAAGUAGUUACAAACAAAAUAAAGAAAUUAUAGUGUGCAUUACAUUUUCAAUUCCA
Molecule: long non-coding RNA, 2962 nt
Filed under: Homo sapiens (human)
Lineage: Eukaryota; Metazoa; Chordata; Mammalia; Primates; Hominidae
Description: non-protein coding lnc-TRIM45-1:4
Source: RNAcentral